Molecule: ribosomal RNA, 501 nt
Filed under: uncultured bacterium
Lineage: Bacteria
Description: bacterial SSU rRNA
Rfam family: Bacterial small subunit ribosomal RNA
Source: RNAcentral
AGCGAACGUUAGCGGCAGGCCUAACACAUGCAAGUCGAGCGAGAAAGAGGGCUUCGGCCCUCGAGUACAGCGGCGUACGGGUGAGUAACACGUGGGUAAUCUGCCCUUCGGUGGGGGACGAACAACCCGAAACGGGUUAGGCUAAUAACCGCAUUCGCCGGCGUGAUCUGCGGAUCGUGCCGGGAAAGUGGGCCUCUACUUGUAAGCACACGCCGAAGGAGGAGCCCGCGUCCCAUCAGCUAGNGGUAGGGUAACGGCCUACCAAGGCAAAGACGGGUAGCUGGUCUGAGAGGAUGAUCAGCCACACUGGGACUGAGACACGGCCCAGACUCCUACGGGAGGCAGCAGUGGGGAAUAUUGGACAAUGGGCGAAAGCCUGAUCCAGCCAUGCCGCGUGAGUGAUGAAGGCCCUCGGGUCGUAAAGCUCUGUGGAGAGGGAAGAAUCCCUGCAGCAUCAGAUCCUGCAGGUUGACGGUACCUCUUUAGCAAGCACCGGCUAAC